Molecule: ribosomal RNA, 253 nt
Filed under: uncultured bacterium
Lineage: Bacteria
Description: partial 16S ribosomal RNA
Rfam family: Bacterial small subunit ribosomal RNA
Source: RNAcentral
UACGUAGGGUGCAAGCGUUGUCCGGAAUUAUUGGGCGUAAAGAGCUCGUAGGCGGCUUGUCACGUCGACUGUGAAAACCCGAGGCUCAACCUCGGGCCUGCAGUCGAUACGGGCAGGCUAGAGUUCGGUAGGGGAGACUGGAAUUCCUGGUGUAGCGGUGAAAUGCGCAGAUAUCAGGAGGAACACCGGUGGCGAAGGCGGGUCUCUGGGCCGAAACUGACGCUGAGGCGCGAAAGCCAGGGGAGCAAACGGG